CCCUCACCACCAUCAUCACCACCACCACAUUCACUCACCAUCCCCUGCUCCUACCCCUGUUAAUGUCCACCCUGCUCCUCCUACACAUUCUCCCUACCCUUCUACCCCUGUACCUGCUAAACCACCAACUCAUCACCACCAUGUCCAUCACCACCCUCCUCCCCCUGUUAAACCACCUGUUCACACACCUAUUGUAACCCAUCCACCAUUGUACACACCUGUUCCAACUCACCCACCACUGCACCCCCCUGUUCCAGCUCACCCACCAUUGCACCCCCCUUCAGUUCCAGCUCACCCAC
RNAcentral lists this long non-coding RNA (299 nucleotides) under Cicer arietinum (chickpea). RNAcentral's name for it is "long non-coding RNA (CARI_LNC001845)". Lineage: Eukaryota; Viridiplantae; Streptophyta; Magnoliopsida; Fabales; Fabaceae. The record is from RNAcentral.